RNAcentral lists this ribosomal RNA (171 nucleotides) under uncultured bacterium. RNAcentral describes it as "partial 16S ribosomal RNA". It matches the Rfam family "Bacterial small subunit ribosomal RNA", at positions 334 to 524 of the family's 1533-position model. The record is from RNAcentral.
UACUCCUACGGGAGGCAGCAGUCGGGAAUCUUGCGCAAUGGGCGAAAGUCUGACGCAGCAACGCCGCGUGAGGGAUGAAGGCCUUCGGGUUGUAAACCUCUUCUCAGGGAAGAUAAUGACGGUACCUGAGGAAGAAGCCACGGCUAACUACGUGCCAGCAGCCGCGGUAAU